GCCGAAAGUCCAAGGGUUCCUGCGUAAAGCUAAUCUGCGCAGGGUUAGCCGGCCCCUAAGGUGAGGCCGAAAGGCGUAAUCGAUGGGAACCAGGUAAAUAUUCCUGGGCCAGUUGGAAGUGACGGAUCCUGUGUAUCGUCGGGGCUUAUUGGAUUGCUCCCGGCGGUGAAGGGGUCCCUGGAAAUAACUCCAACAGAGACCGUACCCGAAACCGACACAGGUGGACUGGUAGAGCAUACCAAGGCGCUUGAGAGAACUAUGCUGAAGGAACUCGGCAAAUUGCACGCGUAACUUCGGGAUAAGC
Molecule: ribosomal RNA, 304 nt
Filed under: Climacostomum virens
Lineage: Eukaryota; Ciliophora; Heterotrichea; Heterotrichida; Climacostomidae
Description: partial Bacterial large subunit ribosomal RNA
Rfam family: Bacterial large subunit ribosomal RNA
Source: RNAcentral